UUCCUGGUGGCUCAGAGGGUAAAGCAUCUGCCUGCAAUGCGGGAGACCUGGGUUCGAUCUCUGGGUCGGGAAG
Molecule: transfer RNA, 73 nt
Filed under: Ovis aries (sheep)
Lineage: Eukaryota; Metazoa; Chordata; Mammalia; Artiodactyla; Bovidae
Rfam family: tRNA
About the family: Transfer RNA (tRNA) molecules are approximately 80 nucleotides in length.
Source: Rfam by way of RNAcentral